CCUACGGGUGGCAGCAGUGGGGAAUAUUGGACAAUGGGGGGAACCCUGAUCCAGCGACGCCGCGUGAGUGAAGAAGUAUUUCGGUAUGUAACGCUCUAUCAGCAGGGACGAAAGAAAUGACGGUACCUGACUAAGAAGCCCCGGCUAACUACGUGCCAGCAGCCGCGGUAAUACGCAGGGGGCAAGCGUUAUCCGGAUUUACUGGGUGUAAAGGGAGCGUAGACGGCGAUGCAAGUCUGAAGUGAAAGGCGGGGGCCCAACCUCCGGACUGCUUUGGAAACUGUAUGGCUGGAGUGCAGGAGAGGUAAGUGGAAUUCCUAGUGUAGCGGUGAAAUGCGUAGAUAUUAGGAGGAACACCAGUGGCGAAGGCGGCUUACUGGACUGUAACUGACGUUGAGGCUCGAAAGCGUGGGGAGCAAACAGGAGUAGAUACCCGAGUAGUC
RNAcentral lists this ribosomal RNA (443 nucleotides) under uncultured bacterium. RNAcentral describes it as "partial 16S ribosomal RNA". It matches the Rfam family "Bacterial small subunit ribosomal RNA", at positions 338 to 795 of the family's 1533-position model. The record is from RNAcentral.